CCAUACAUUUAAAAGCACUGUUAUACCACUUUAACACUCACAGAUAAUCCUGGCCACUGUACUUUGUUAAGGGUGCUGGGAAGUAAGGAUGUUACCCCACAAUUUGAACAUAACUUGGGCCUAGUCUCUAUGGCUGGAACCCAACGAAGCAUUUCCACUGGUAAAAGCACUUCAGGGGCUGCAUGCUGGAACAGCCUCUCUCUCUGCUAAAUAAAUAUGCCCCCUAAAUAUGUUCUGGGGUUUCCCCACCAACUUUCCAGAGCAGAUUUAGGGGACACAAGAUGGUGAAGAGGAACAGGAAAUUCUGCCGAGCAGCCAAAAAUGCUUUUGCUAGCAGAACUGUUUAGCUGGAUACACACCCUAUAUAGGCAGCAGAAAUAAAUGGUGCAAUGGACUAUAUACCAUUUCAGACUUGCAGAUGGGAAAACCCAUGUUUUUUAGCUCUUCCUUACAGCUGACAAACAAACCCUUCCUUGCAAGCAGAAAACAAACUCAAUAGGGAGAGGGCCAGGAUAGAAUUUGUUACACUGCCGUGUCAAUGUUCCACUUGAAGAGAGCUUCUACAUGGAAGAAUUUGCAUUCCUCCUCCUGCAAUCUGAAGCGUUAGCCUCACCUGCCACCUCAUUCUGCUACAGGUUGGGUCCGACUCUCUUGUAAUGCCUUUAGGGUCUGGGUUCAAGACUGCCCAAAGACUCCCCCCCC
Podarcis raffonei (Aeolian wall lizard) is the source of this 702-nucleotide long non-coding RNA. RefSeq lists it as uncharacterized. NCBI's taxonomy places the organism in Eukaryota, Metazoa, Chordata, Lepidosauria, Squamata, Lacertidae. The transcript is spliced from 2 exons. The record is from RefSeq and is a predicted model, not a curated record.